AACGAACGCUGGCGGCAUGCCUAACACAUGCAAGUCGAACGAGACCUUCGGGUCUAGUGGCGCACGGGUGCGUAACGCGUGGGAACCUGCCCUUAGGUUCGGAAUAACUCACCGAAAGGGGUGCUAAUACCGGAUAAUGUCUUCGGACCAAAGAUUUAUCGCCUUUGGAUGGGCCCGCGUUGGAUUAGCUAGUUGGUAGGGUAAAAGCCUACCAAGGCGACGAUCCAUAGCUGGUCUGAGAGGAUGAUCAGCCACACUGGGACUGAGACACGGCCCAGACUCCUACGGGAGGCAGCAGUGGGGAAUAUUGGACAAUGGGCGAAAGCCUGAUCCAGCAAUGCCGCGUGAGUGAUGAAGGUCUUAGGGUUGUAAAGCUCUUUUACCCGGGAUGAUAAUGACAGUACCGGGAGAAUAAGCUCCGGCUAACUCCGUG
This 433-nucleotide ribosomal RNA is filed under the name uncultured bacterium. RNAcentral's name for it is "partial 16S ribosomal RNA". It matches the Rfam family "Bacterial small subunit ribosomal RNA", at positions 29 to 507 of the family's 1533-position model. The record is from RNAcentral.